AGAGAUGUGGAGGAACACCAGUGGCGAAGGCGACUCUCUGGUCUGUAACUGACGCUGAGGCGCGAAAGCGUGGGGAGCGAACAGGAUUAGAUACCCUGGUAGUCCACGCCGUAAACGAUGAGUGCUAAGUGUUAGAGGGUUUCCGCCCUUUAGUGCUGCAGCAAACGCAUUAAGCACUCCGCCUGGGGAGUACGGUCGCAAGACUGAAACUCAAAGGAAUUGACGGGGGCCCGCACAAGCGGUGGAGCAUGUGGUUUAAUUCGAAGCAACGCGAAGAACCUUACCAGGUCUUGACAUCCUCUGACAACCCUAGAGAUAGGGCUUCCCCUUCGGGGGCAGAGUGACAGGUGGUGCAUGGUUGUCGUCAGCUCGUGUCGUGAGAUGUUGGGUUAAGUCCCGCAACGAGCGCAACCCUUGAUCUUAGUUGCCAGCAUUCAGUUGGGCACUCUAAGGUGACUGCCGGUGACAAACCGGAGGAAGGUGGGGAUGACGUCAAAUCAUCAUGCCCCUUAUGACCUGGGCUACACACGUGCUACAAUGGGCAGAACAAAGGGCAGCGAAGCCGCGAGGCUAAGCCAAUCCCACAAAUCUGUUCUCAGUUCGGAUCGCAGUCUGCAACUCGACUGCGUGAAGCUGGAAUCGCUAGUAAUCGCGGAUCAG
Molecule: ribosomal RNA, 660 nt
Filed under: Bacillus licheniformis
Lineage: Bacteria; Bacillati; Bacillota; Bacilli; Caryophanales; Bacillaceae
Description: bacterial SSU rRNA
Rfam family: Bacterial small subunit ribosomal RNA
Source: RNAcentral